RNAcentral lists this unclassified non-coding RNA (624 nucleotides) under Hevea brasiliensis (rubber tree). Lineage: Eukaryota; Viridiplantae; Streptophyta; Magnoliopsida; Malpighiales; Euphorbiaceae. The record is from RNAcentral.
GAACAACAACAAAGAGGGGAAUGUGGUGAUCACGAAAAUGCGGAAUCUCAAACAUCGUCGUCUUUAAAUGGCAAAGAAAUACUGAAAGCAAUCGAAGUUGUGGAGAGAGAUUCUAUGGCGAUCGCCCAUAGCUACACUUCACUUUUUGCUUCUCUUCGAUCAACUUUAUCAGAGGUUACUAGUACUUCUGUUGAUCACAUGAUCUGCUUUGGUGAUGCAGCAGGACGAGUUCAAGAAUGUGCACUUGAUGCAGCAACUAAAGGAAACCGUUACAUAAACUCUUGCUUAAGAUUGAACGAGGAAAUGAAAGGAAUUGAUAAUCUUGCAACCCAGCUGAAAAUCAUCCGGAGAAACGUAGAUGCAUUGGACUCGGCUGUAAAUAGGCUAGUUCGUUUCCCAUGAGUGUGGAUCUGUCUUGAUGGACGAUGUCAACUAGGUGAGCUGCACAUAUUUUGUGGUGCUUUAUAUAUGAGUGAGAUGCCAGUUAAGUCUUGCUUCUUUGAAGGUUUAAGAAUAAAACAGUGUGUAAUUGAAUGAAUUGCAAGGCUGAUACAUUUUCUAACCCAUAGAAAAGCUUUCACCAUUGUUGCUUUUGCAUACAAUUUUUACCUCACUAUAUCAUUG